Molecule: ribosomal RNA, 468 nt
Filed under: uncultured bacterium
Lineage: Bacteria
Description: partial 16S ribosomal RNA
Rfam family: Bacterial small subunit ribosomal RNA
Source: RNAcentral
GACGAACGCUGGCGACGUGCUUAACACAUGCAAGUCGAACGGAAAGGCCCUGCUUUUGUGGGGUGCUCGAGUGGCGAACGGGUGAGUAACACGUGAGUAACCUGCCCUUGACUUUGGGAUAACUUCAGGAAACUGGGGCUAAUACCGGAUAGGAGCUCCUGCUGCAUGGUGUGGGUUGGAAAGUUUCGGCGGUUGGGGAUGGACUCGCGGGUUAUCAGCUUGUUGGUGGGGUAGUGGCUUACCAAGGCUUUGACGGGUAGCCGGCCUGAGAGGGUGACCGGCCACAUUGGGACUGAGAUACGGCCCAGACUCCUACGGGAGGCAGCAGUGGGGAAUAUUGCACAAUGGGCGGAAGCCUGAUGCAGCAACGCCGCGUGCGGGAUGACGGCCUUCGGGUUGUAAACCGCUUUCGCCUGUGGCGAAGCGUGAGUGACGGUAAUGGGUAAAGAAGCACCGGCUAACUACGUG